This 21-nucleotide non-coding RNA is filed under the name Caenorhabditis elegans. Lineage: Eukaryota; Metazoa; Nematoda; Chromadorea; Rhabditida; Rhabditidae. The record is from RNAcentral.
UAUUUCGUGAUUUCAAAAAUA